CCGCUGGGGUAUUUGCGCAAUGGGCGAAGCCUGAUGCAGCGACGCCGCGUGAGGGAUGACGGCCUUCGGGUUGUAAACCUCUUUCCGUAGGGAAGAAGCGGACGUGACCGUACCUGCAAAACACGCGCCGGUUAGCUACAAGCCACCAGCCGCGCUAAUCA
RNAcentral lists this ribosomal RNA (161 nucleotides) under uncultured Arthrobacter sp. Its description in RNAcentral is "partial 16S ribosomal RNA". It matches the Rfam family "Bacterial small subunit ribosomal RNA", at positions 352 to 526 of the family's 1533-position model. The record is from RNAcentral. Lineage: Bacteria; Bacillati; Actinomycetota; Actinomycetes; Micrococcales; Micrococcaceae.